Molecule: long non-coding RNA, 412 nt
Filed under: Solanum tuberosum (potato)
Lineage: Eukaryota; Viridiplantae; Streptophyta; Magnoliopsida; Solanales; Solanaceae
Description: long non-coding RNA (STUB_LNC010151)
Source: RNAcentral
CUGGGGGGUCAAAGGAUCAACAUAUAUUACAUUGAAAGAUCAAUACUCAAAAGAAAUACGCUUCAAAUAAUUUUAAGAAUGAAACUCUAACAAACUAGAACUUGGAAGAAGAAAAUAAGAAAUUCAAUUCUACAUCAACUACAAAUAGUAAUUCACUUAUACAAAAAUUAUUGAGUAAAAAAGCAGAGAUUUGGGCAAGGUUCACUCCAGACAAUGAAGUAACGAAACCCGAACAAUAAUAGAGAAAGGAGGAAAAGGGCAGCCGAUCAUUACUAGGUAGAAAUAACUUGGAUAUACGCAUUAAAUUUAAUCUUAGUAUGCUUGAAGGGUAUAGAUAAUAAGGACGUAUAAGUGGAAAAUAAUUAGCAUAGUAGAACACUUUUACAUCGAAGAUUUAACACAAGGAACUAUG